CAAUAGCGUAUAUUAAAGUUGUUGCGGUAAAAAAGCUCGUAGUUGGAUUUCUGUUGAGAGCGACCGGUCCAUACCAUGUAUGCGCAUCUGGCUUGCUCUCGGCAUCCUCUCGAUAGACGUUGCUGCGCUUGAUUGCGUGGCGCGGAUCUCGGGACUUUUACUUUGAGGAAAUUAGAGUGUUCACGGCAGGCUUUCGCCAGAAUACAUUAGCAUGGAAUAAUACUAUAGGAUCUUGGUUCUAUUUUGUUGGUUUCUAGAAUUGAGAUAAUGAUUAAUAGGGACAAUUGGGGGCAUUCGUAUCAACACGUCAGAGGUGGAAUUCUUGGAUUGUGUUGCGACGAACUACUGCGAAAGCAUUUGCCAAGGAUGUUUNCAUUGA
Molecule: ribosomal RNA, 379 nt
Filed under: uncultured eukaryote
Lineage: Eukaryota
Description: partial 18S ribosomal RNA
Rfam family: Eukaryotic small subunit ribosomal RNA
Source: RNAcentral